CUCAGUCCCUGGUCCCUGGAGAGGGGAUCUGGGUCUCUCUGCAUCCAGUGGGAGAGCCUGAAUAGACCUGCAGGAGAGACAAAUCUCGGACUGCUGAAUUUCUCCACUCUCAUGGCAUUGCCCAUCAAGAGGGAUUGCAGUUCUGAACAUGAUGGAUCAGAUGCAAUAUGAGGUGCUUCAUGUCUGCAGGCCUGUCCCAGAAAUUCUCAUAUCCUGUAAGGACUGAAGCUUGAACUGAUAUGGAACCCAUGACUCAGUAGCAGUUGACUGCUAGCCCCUCCUGGGCUUCUACUCCUUUGUCCGUUGCAUCCCCUAAACUCAGCCCACCUGAUUACUUCAUAUCUGUUGGCGGAUUGACUCCCUCCCUCCAGACCACUUUCAAUAAGAAGAUCUUCCUUAUUUGGCUAGGAACAAACACCACGUGGCUUCCCUAUGACCUGUAUGCUGCCUUGAUCUUCUACCCUUGGAAGAAACAGAAGGAGUGAGAGAGUUAUGUCAGCCAGGACAGCAUUAACUUUAAUCCUACUUAAUUCCAGCUCCACGAUGAAAGCCUAACUUUGAGACUUGAUUGAGGUGAGUUUAGGUCAAAUAAGAGGAGGUUUCAUUCAGCCACAUCGUCAUUUAUUCAGCCAACAUUCACAGAGCCAGGCACAGAGCUUGGGGCUGGGAGUCAGAGGAACAAUACUUGGUCCCUGCCCUUGAGGGAGACAAACAGAAGCAAAUAGGAAAUAACUGCAACAUAGGCAAUGAAUUCUGAAGUGAAAGGAAGCAGGAACCCACGCUGGGGAGAGUCACUGAUGGACAGUUGUAACUUUUAGGGAGGGGACACAGAGGCAAGGAGAAGGCAGAAGAAACUGACUCGAGUUGGAUUUUAAAGGCUGAGUAAUAAACUCACAAAAGUAAAAUUAUGGGGCCGGGCGCAGUGGCUCAUGCAUGUAAUCCC
Homo sapiens (human) is the source of this 943-nucleotide long non-coding RNA. RefSeq lists it as uncharacterized. The transcript has 3 exons. The record is from RefSeq and is a predicted model, not a curated record. Lineage: Eukaryota; Metazoa; Chordata; Mammalia; Primates; Hominidae.